Molecule: long non-coding RNA, 260 nt
Filed under: Elaeis guineensis (African oil palm)
Lineage: Eukaryota; Viridiplantae; Streptophyta; Magnoliopsida; Arecales; Arecaceae
Description: long non-coding RNA (EGUI_LNC029640)
Source: RNAcentral
UUCACUGCUUCUUCAAAAGAGAUUACAUCCUCAUUAAUAUAUAAACAAAUGAGAUUAAGCAGACUUAUCACCUCAUAGAGAUCUUGCAUGCUUCUUGUCUUUCUAGAUUCUUUACUUGAAGAUGGAGAUCUCGUGCUAGGUGAUGAAGGAGGUGUGGGAUCUUAACUUGACCCUUCACUUGUUCUUCUUCUUCUUACACCUCUAUCAUGUUGGUGCUCCAAUUCCAGAUUCCAUCUUCAUUGAACUUCAUAUCACGGCUU